This is an RNA transcript of Fragaria vesca subsp. vesca, 1121 nucleotides long. It is a transcript of the gene named acetyl-coenzyme A carboxylase carboxyl transferase subunit beta, chloroplastic-like, with no coding region annotated. The record is from RefSeq and is a predicted model, not a curated record. The annotation marks the transcript as partial. The transcript has a single exon. NCBI's taxonomy places the organism in Eukaryota, Viridiplantae, Streptophyta, Magnoliopsida, Rosales, Rosaceae.
UCUAAUUGUAGUGACAAGUCUAAUUCCAGUAAUGUUGAUCAUUUAGUCGGCGGCGGAUCCCUUCGGAAUUUAAUAUCGGAUGAGACUUUUUUCGUUAUGGAUAGUAAUAAGGACGGUUAUUCCAUAUAUUUUGAUAUUGAAAAUAAAAAUUUUGAGAUUGACACCGACCGUUCUUUUCUAAGUGAACUAAAAAGUUCGUUUUAUAGUUAUCAGACUUCGAGUUAUAUGAAUAAUGCAACUAAAAGUGACGAUAAUCGCCACGACCAUUACGUGUAUGAUACUAAUUACUAAUUAUAGUUGGAAUAAUCACAUUACUAGUUGCAUUGACAGUUAUCUUCGGUCUCAAAUUUGUCUUGAUAGUUAUAUUUUAAGCAAUAGUGACAAUUACAGUGAUAGUUACAUUUAUAGUUACAUUUGUGGCGAAAGCAGAAAUAGUAGUAAAAGCGGGAGUUCCAGUAUCAAAACUAGCAAGGAUGGUAGUGAUUUAACUAUAAGAUCUAAUAAUUUAAAUGUAACUCAAAAAUACAGGCAUUUGUGGAUUCAAUGUGAAAAUUGUUAUGGAUUAAAUUAUAAGAAAUUUUUAAAAUCCAAAAUGAAUAUUUGUGAACAGUGUGGAUGUCAUUUGAAAAUGAGUAGUUUCGAUAGAAUCGAACUUUCGAUUGAUCCGGGUACUUGGGAUCCUAUGAAUGAAGACAUGGUCUCUCUGGAUCCCAUUGAAUUUCAUUCGGAAGAGGUAACCUUAUAAAGAUCGUAUUGAUUCUUAUCAAAAAAAUACAGGAUUAACUGAGGCUGUUCAAACAGGCACAGGUCAAUUAAAUGGCAUUCCCGUAGCAAUCGGGGUUAUGGAUUUUCAGUUUAUGGGGGGUAGUAUGGGAUCCGUAGUAGGUGAAAAAAAUCACACGUUUUGGCUGAGUAUGCUACCAAUAAACUUUUACCUCUUAUUCUAGUGUGUGCUUCCGGAGGAGCCCGCAUGCAAGAAGGAAGUUUGAGCUUAAUGCAAAUGGCUAAAAAUAUCUUCCGUUUUAUAUGAUUAUCAAUCAAAUAAAAAAUUAUUUUAUGUCGCAGUUCUUACAUCCCCUACCACGGGUGGGGUGACGGCUAGUUUUGGUAUGUUGGGAGAU